AGACCAACAGGGAUUGCCUCAGUAACGGCGAGUGAAGCGGCAACAGCUCAAAUUUUAAAUCUGGCUCACGCCCGAGUUGUAAUUUGCAGAGGCGGUCUCGGAGUCGUCCCCGGUCUAAGUUCCUUGGAACAGGACGUCGCAGAGGGUGAGAGUCCCGUACGCGGCCGGGUGCCUUCUCCGUGUGAGACCCCUUCAACGAGUCGAGUUGUUUGGGAAUGCAGCUCUAAAUGGGAGGUAAAUUCCUUCUAAAGCUAAAUAACGGCCAGAGACCGAUAGCGCACAAGUAGAGUGAUCGAAAGAUGAAAAGCACUUUGAAAAGAGAGUCAAAAAGUACGUGAAAUUGUUGAAAGGGAAGCGUUUACAGCCAGACUUGAUGGCAGUUGCUCAACCGGUCUCUGCCCGGUGCACUCUUCUGCUAGCAGGCCAGCAUCAGUUCAGACGGUCGGAUAAAGGUGUCGGGAAUGUGGCUCCCCCGGGAGUGUUAUAGCCCUUCGCACAAUGCGACCCGCCUGGACUGAGGACAGCAUUCUACGGAUGCUGGCGUAAUGGCUGUCAACGGCCCGUCUUGAAACACGGACCAAGGAGUCUAACAUCUAUGCGAGUGUUUGGGUGUCAAACCCGUGCGCGUAAUGAAAGUGAACGGAGGUGGGAGCUUCGGCGCACCAUCGACCGAUCCUGAUGUUUUCGGAAGGAUUUGAGUAAGAGCAUAGCUGUUGGGACCCGAAAGAUGGUGAACUAUGCCUGAAUAGGGUGAAGCCAGAGGAAACUCUGGUGGAGGCUCGCAGCGGUUCUGACGUGCAAAUCGAUCGUCAAAUUUGGGUAUAGGGGCGAAAGACUAAUCGAACCAUCAGAACCUAGUAGCUACUAGGUGGUUCAGACGGUACCCUAGGUACCGUAGCGAGAGCAACACUACCAAAUUGCGGGGACGUUUGGAAAUCCGUGGUUACCUUCUGGUGCUGAAAAGUUACCAGAUGAAUGGUUAAAAUUCCGCAGAUCAAACAAUCCGCAGCCAAUUCCGAUUUAAUCGGGUUGAGUUCACAGGCCAAAUGGUGGUGGGGGUAAUCACCCUUAAGAUAUGGUCGCUACUCACAUAAACCGUGAGAGAUUAAAG
RNAcentral lists this ribosomal RNA (1111 nucleotides) under Morenoina palmicola. RNAcentral's name for it is "partial large subunit ribosomal RNA". It matches the Rfam family "Eukaryotic large subunit ribosomal RNA", at positions 62 to 1115 of the family's 3401-position model. The record is from RNAcentral. Lineage: Eukaryota; Fungi; Ascomycota; Dothideomycetes; Asterinales; Morenoinaceae.